UGGGGAAUAUUGCACAAUGGGGGAAACCCUGAUGCAGCGCCGCCGCGUGAGCGAAGAAGGCUUUCGAAUCGUAAAGCUCUGUCCUAUGAGAAGAUAAUUACGGUAUCAUAGGAGGAAGCCCCGGCUAAAUACGUGCCAGCAGCCGCGGUAAUACGUAUGGGGCGAGCGUUGUCCGGAAUUAUUGGGCGUAAAGGGUACGUAGGCGGUCUAUUAAGUCAGGUGGGAAAGCGUGAGGCGUAACCUCAUUAAGCACUUGAAACUGAUAGACGUGAGUGAAGGAGAGGAAAGUGGAAUUCCUAGUGUAGCGGGGAAAUGCGUAGAUAUUAGGAGGAAUACAGGUGGCGAAGGCGACUUUCUGGACUUUUACUGACGCUCAGGUACGAAAGCGUGGGGAGCAAACAGG
RNAcentral lists this ribosomal RNA (403 nucleotides) under Verrucomicrobiota bacterium. RNAcentral's name for it is "Verrucomicrobia bacterium partial 16S ribosomal RNA". It matches the Rfam family "Bacterial small subunit ribosomal RNA", at positions 355 to 776 of the family's 1533-position model. Lineage: Bacteria; Pseudomonadati; Verrucomicrobiota. The record is from RNAcentral.